CUUGAAUUCGUAGUCAUAUGCUUGUCUCAAAGAUUAAGCCAUGCAUGUCUAAGUAUAAGCAAUCUAUACGGUGAAACUGCGAAUGGCUCAUUAAAUCAGUUAUCGUUUAUUUGAUAGUACCCUACUACUUGGAUAACCGUGGUAAUUCUAGAGCUAAUACAUGCUAAAAACCCCGACUUUCGAAGGGGUGUAUUUAUUAGAUAAAAAGCCAAUGCCCUUCGGGGCUCCUUGGUGAUUCAUAAUAACUUAACGAAUCGCAUGGCCUUGCGCCGGCGAUGGUUCAUUCAAAUUUCUGCCCUAUCAACUUUCGAUGGUAGGAUAGUGGCCUACCAUGGUUUCAACGGGUAACGGGGAAUUAGGGUUCUAUUCCGGAGAGGGAGCCUGAGAAACGGCUACCACAUCCAAGGAAGGCAGCAGGCGCGCAAAUUACCCAAUCCCGACACGGGGAGGUAGUGACAAUAAAUACUGAUACAGGGCUCUUUAGGGUCUUGUAAUUGGAAUGAGUACAAUUUAAAUCCCUUAACGAGGAACAAUUGGAGGGCAAGUCUGGUGCCAGCAGCCGCGGUAAUUCCAGCUCCAAUAGCGUAUAUUAAAGUUGUUGCAGUUAAAAAGCUCGUAGUUGAACCUUGGGCCUGGCUGGCCGGUCCGCCUCACCGCGUGCACUGGUCCGGCCGGGCCUUUCCUUCUGGCUAGCCACAUGCCCUUAAUUGGGUGUGUUGGGGAACCAGGACUUUUACUUUGAAAAAAUUAGAGUGUUCAAAGCAGGCCUAUGCUCGAAUACAUUAGCAUGGAAUAAUAGAAUAGGACGUGUGGUUCUAUUUUGUUGGUUUCUAGGACCGCCGUAAUGAUUAAUAGGGAUAGUCGGGGGCAUCAGUAUUCAAUUGUCAGAGGUGAAAUUCUUGGAUUUAUUGAAGACUAACUACUGCGAAAGCAUUUGCCAAGGAUGUUUUCAUUAAUCAGUGAACGAAAGUUAGGGGAUCGAAGACGAUCAGAUACCGUCGUAGUCUUAACCAUAAACUAUGCCGACUAGGGAUCGGGCGAUGUUAAUUUUAUGACUCGCUCGGCACCUUACGAGAAAUCAAAGUCUUUGGGUUCU
Molecule: ribosomal RNA, 1096 nt
Filed under: Geoglossum glabrum
Lineage: Eukaryota; Fungi; Ascomycota; Geoglossomycetes; Geoglossales; Geoglossaceae
Description: SSU rRNA
Rfam family: Eukaryotic small subunit ribosomal RNA
Source: RNAcentral